CUACAGAACUCGAGAGGGAACUGGAUGUUAAAUCAGAAGUCAGCCGAGGUCAUAGUAGAGACAACUCGAAGGAC
Molecule: non-coding RNA, 74 nt
Organism: Burkholderiales bacterium YL45
Lineage: Bacteria; Pseudomonadati; Pseudomonadota; Betaproteobacteria; Burkholderiales
Source: Rfam